This is a long non-coding RNA of Drosophila montana, 400 nucleotides long. RefSeq lists it as uncharacterized. The transcript has 3 exons. NCBI's taxonomy places the organism in Eukaryota, Metazoa, Arthropoda, Insecta, Diptera, Drosophilidae. The record is from RefSeq and is a predicted model, not a curated record.
UUUUUAAAUUCAAGCGUAGAAAGUAUUAAAAAAAAAUCGAAAUUCAUGGUAAAUGAUAAAAAAAAAAUUGGCGAAAAUUACUGGAUAAAACCAAAAACGUGGGGUUAAAUAUGGAAAAGACGAGCGAAGCGAGCGCCAAGAAGCACAACACACCAAUUGUAACCUGCUGUUUAUAAUGUCGCAGCAGCUCGAACUCAUCGAACAGGCUGGUGAAAACCGUAAAGAGUUGCGUGAUCUGUUUUGGGAAAAGAAUGAAAAAUUUAUAGAGGCCAUCAGCAACAUGGUAUAGUAGAUGAUGGUCCAUAAAUUGGGCAGUUCCAGGGUGGACAGAGCACUGGCACUCGAUAGAUACAAUACCCAGUUCACCUCCACAUACGAACCGAAGCUGUUGGUUCUCAUG